RNAcentral lists this long non-coding RNA (4084 nucleotides) under Sus scrofa (pig). RNAcentral describes it as "lncRNA (ENSSSCG00060014533.1)". The record is from RNAcentral. Lineage: Eukaryota; Metazoa; Chordata; Mammalia; Artiodactyla; Suidae.
CAAUUUGGUUUAAUUGCUAUUUAUAGAACACUACAUAUGACAACUGUAGAAUGCAUUCAUUCAAAGUACACACGAGAAGCUCAUCAAGAUAACCUGUAUGUUGGAUAACAACAAAACAACAAAAUUCAAUGAAUUUCAAAGGACUGAAGUUGUAUAGAGUACAUUCUCAGACCAAAACAGAAUUAUUUUGGAUAUCAAAAAUGAUAUCCCUGGAUAUUUGGAAAUUAAGUAAUACUUCCAGUUAAGGAAUGGAUCAAAGAAGAAAUCAACAGGGACGGUAUAAAUAAAUUCAAACUUAAUGGUAAUGAAAUCACAAUGUACAAAAAUGAAGUGCAGCUUAAGUAAUAUUUAGAAAGAAAUUUAUAGCUUUAACUUAUACUUUAUAUAUUUAAUUUGUAUUAGAAAAGAAAGGAUAGGAAAUCAAUGACUUAACUUGAGAAAAACAAGAAGAAUAGAAAACUAAACCCAAAGUAGGUAUUUAAAAAAAGAAAUAAAAACAUAUGAAUGGAAAUCAAUGAAAUAGAAAAGAGAAAUAGGAAAAAAAGACAAGGGUUGUUUAAAAAUUUAAUAAAAUUGAUAUAGUGAUACUGAUAAAGACAAAAGGAGAGUAAACAUAUUCGCAAAUAUCUAGAAGGAAAGAGGGGCACCACGACAGAUCCUAGAUAUAUUGAAAAUAUAAUAAAGGGAUAGCAGUAACUUCAUGUCAGUGUACUAACAUCUUAGAUUAAAUGGACAAAUUGUUUAAAAAACACAAGUUAUCAACUGACACACAAGAAAAAAGAAAACUGGAAUUACAGCAUAUCCACUUGAGAAAUUUAAUUUGCAAUUCAAAAUUUCUCCCCAAAGAAAAUGUUAGUCACCAGUGGCUUCUGUGGUAAAUUCUAUCAAAUACAUAAAGAAGAAAUAAUAAAUAUCUUACACAACCACUUGCAUAAAAGAGAGGUGGACUAAAUAAUUGUGUCAGUCAUUUUAUGAGACUAGUAUAACCCUGAAACCAAACUUGACAAGGACAUACUGUGUAAAAAUACAGAGACCAAUAUCCCUCAUGCAUAUAGAUGUAAAAAUUCUCAACAAUGUACUAACAUAUUGACUCUCCAUGACAGAGGACUUUUUUUGUCACACUGCUGCCUGCCACAAGGAAUAAAAACAUGUACAGUUUGCCUGAUGAACCACAGCUUAUAGGUGCCCUUCCAUUCCCAGUUUGCAGGACUUCAGUUUGUUGGAGCUGCUUGGAUCUUUGUAUUCUUCGGUCGCUGUCACUACCUCAUGUUCAGAAUGGAGAGGGACUUGAUUCCGAUCGCAACACUCAAUAUCUCAGCGGUGCCCACCCUCCCCACCGCUGUCAUGUCCACUUGGACACCAAUAGGACCAGGACUCGGGUAAGUCAAGUGUCUUAGAGGCAAAAUUGAUGGGUUACCCAAAAACUUAGUAGUCAAGACCGAUACUAUUUUAUGCACUAUUCUAAAAAGUCAAACAAUGAUAUGAUCUAUGAUGAACAAAAUAUCAACAUUUUAGAUGAAGACAGGAUCCAACUCUACGCGUGUACAACGUGGUCUCACCCUAUUCCAGCCCUGCCACAUCCUAACUGUUGUUUCCUGGGUUCACUAGGGAAAAAAAAUGAUGGUAUCUGCUUUACUGUUUCUUCUCCUGGGCUUUUCCUUCAAGGCCAAGAGGGCUACCAAACUUCUAGAUUCAAUAAUGCUAGUAUUAAAUUUACAGAGAGGAAUGUCUUUUAUUUUGCAGAUGUCAUCUAUUUUAGAAUAUGUUCCUACUGGCAAUUUUAUUACCUAUAUUUAUGCAGUAAGGGAGCAGUAUCUUUACAGUGUGGAAAAGAUACCUUCUGCGAGGUAUCUGCACGUGUGCUUCUCCACCACCCACUAAAGCUAUUCCGCCUGCCCUCCCGCCCCCCACGCCCAAAUGCACACACACAUAAACAUACGCAAACACACAACCACUCUGAGUACAGCUGAGAAGUUCUAAACUUUCUUUAGACAUUACCAUUCAUAUAUCAUGUGACUUUUACUGCGUUUUUGUGGCUGUGCUACUAAACCGGAAGUAAUGCUCUUUUCAAGGUAUUCCAGAUGAAUCUAAGAAAAGAUAGAAACAAAAAGCCUUUGGAGAUACCUUUCAGUUCUACACUUGACCUAUUUGUAAAGUAAGAUUGGAAAGAAGUAAUAGUUCCUGACACAGUGAGGUCUCAAAACACACAUCUCUAUACGCUGAAAAGAUCUGCUUUCAAAGAUUUUUAGGACUCAUAUGUAGUCAAUUAAUUUUACUAAGUAAACUUGUUGGACCUGCUACUUCCGUGCUCGAGAGGGAAACCAGCCCUGUGUUCUGGAUUGCUACAUAAACCUUCUAGUCGUCUUGUCAGGACACUGCUAAAGCAGGUAUAAAAGUAUAGCUGGCAUUUAUCAGCUCACUGUCUCAUUCUUUUCUCCCUAACUCAACUUUUUGGGUUGCUAUUGGCCAGUAAGUUUCCUUAGAAAGUUCAACUGUGUAUGUUUGUAUCAGUCAAAUUGAGAGAGAACCGAACGAAGACAGGAAGUCAGCUUCAGUAACUCUGAAUACUGUCCCUUGAUUUUCUAUCAAGCGGGUUGUGCACCUUAAAUAGACAGUCUAGGACCUCAUCAGAUAGUUGUGUACAUCAGCCUUACUCAUGAGGAGGAGAUGUGUCAGUUUGGAAUGCACUUGUCUCUAGUCAACAGAAAACCUGACUUCAGUUGUUUUAUCACAUAGGGGUUUAUUUAUAAAGUGCAACGCAAAGCCUGGGAGAAGGGAGCGUAGAGGGUUGCGGCAGCUUAACAAUGCUAUAAGAAAUUCUUUCCACAUUUUCAUACUUAGCAUACAGACCUUUGUUUUAUGGUAUGCAUCUUGUGGUUGCCAGUUGGCUGCUUCCACUCAAGGCUUACUCCCCAGGACCCAUGCCAGUUAAGAAAAAGGAAAAUGGGCAAAAGUCCUAAAGGGGAACAUGCCAUCUCAGAUUAGCCCUUUCAAAAAUAUUUCCUUUAAGCCCAAUUCCCAAGUGCACUUCUACAUCAUUAGCCAUAAUGGAUUCAUAUGCCACUCCUCCCUGCAAGAGAUGAAGGGAAAAUGAAUAUGUGGCCCAGAGUAGGGAAGGCAAGGAAAAAUGGGCUGGGACAUGGCUGUGUUGAUAGCCAUUUGUAUUUACGUCCUGUUGCUGCUGUAACAAAUUACCACAAACUCAGUGGCUUAAAAACACAAACGCAAAUUUAUUGUCUUACUGUUCAGGAGUUCAAAAGUUAAAUUGGGCUAAAGUUAAGGUAGAACUACACUCCUUUCCCGGGGGCUUUAAGGGAAAAUACAUUUUAGCUUCUCUAGCUUCUAUGGGCUGUGCAUUCCCUCACUUGUGGCUCCCCUUCAUCUUCAAACAGUGCUGCCUGGUUCAGUCUCCCACAUAACAUCACUCUGGCCCUGACUCUUCUGCUUCCUACUUCCACUUGUUAUUAAAGACUCUUGGAUAACACUGGACCCACCUGGAUAAUCUAGAGUAAUCUCUUUAUUUUAAGGUCAACUGAUUAUCAACCUUAAUUCCAUCUGCAACUUUAAUUCCCCUUUGCCACACAACAUAAAAUACUCACAGGUUCUAGGGAUCAGGAGAUAGAUACUUUGCGGGGCUGUUAUCCUCUCUACCAGAGUCUACCCUCUGGUCCCCCAAGAUACACACCUAUGCCACAUAAGAAAUAUAUUCCAGGUCCUCCCAGAUCUCAUCUCAUUAUAAUAUCAUCUCAGUGUGUUCACAUAAUACAAAUAGUGUACACCUGUGACACACUUGGCUUUCUCUCCAGAGCAUCCUUUCCUAAUAGGGAACCUCCUAAUCUGAGCGUCUUUUACAAUCUGAAUGGGCUGAGAAUUUCUCCAAUCAUCAAACUCUGGUUCCUUUUUGUUUAACAGUCCCUCCCUCUAUUUCAUUCUUCUCAACAUUUUACUAUACGUAGCAAGAAGAAAUGAGGCUAUGCUUUCAACCCGUGCCUGGAAAUCUUCUCAGCUAAAUAUCCAAGUUCAUUGCUUACAACCCCCCCCCCCCCAUUUCUACUGCAGGACACAAUUCAGCUCUGUUUUCUGU